RNAcentral lists this ribosomal RNA (468 nucleotides) under uncultured bacterium. RNAcentral's name for it is "partial 16S ribosomal RNA". It matches the Rfam family "Bacterial small subunit ribosomal RNA", at positions 28 to 507 of the family's 1533-position model. The record is from RNAcentral.
GACGAGCGCUGGCGGCGUGCUUAACACAUGCAAGUCGAACGGAAAGGCCCUGCUUUUGUGGGGUGCUCGAGUGGCGAACGGGUGAGUAACACGUGAGUAACCUGCCCUUGACUUUGGGAUAACUUCAGAAAACUGGGGCUAAUACCGGAUAGGAGCUCCUGCUGCAUGGUGGGGGUUGGAAAGUUUCGGCGGUUGGGGAUGGACUCGCGGCUUAUCAGCUUGUUGGUGGGGUAGUGGCUUACCAAGGCUUUGACGGGUAGCCGGCCUGAGAGGGUGACCGGCCACAUUGGGACUGAGAUACGGCCCAGACUCCUACGGGAGGCAGCAGUGGGGAAUAUUGCACAAUGGGCGGAAGCCUGAUGCAGCAACGCCGCGUGCGGGAUGACGGCCUUCGGGUUGUAAACCGCUUUCGCCUGUGACGAAGCGUGAGUGACGGUAAUGGGUAAAGAAGCACCGGCUAACUACGUG